RNAcentral lists this small RNA (27 nucleotides) under Bombyx mori (domestic silkworm). RNAcentral describes it as "ovarian small RNA-34848". The record is from RNAcentral. Lineage: Eukaryota; Metazoa; Arthropoda; Insecta; Lepidoptera; Bombycidae.
UGGCCUGUAGGCCUCGAAACGGGACAU